RNAcentral lists this long non-coding RNA (210 nucleotides) under Nicotiana benthamiana. RNAcentral describes it as "long non-coding RNA (NBEN_LNC040492)". Lineage: Eukaryota; Viridiplantae; Streptophyta; Magnoliopsida; Solanales; Solanaceae. The record is from RNAcentral.
GUGGUAUGAAUUUGGGCAGGUUGGAGCCUGCCGCCUGCAGAGAUGGAGAAGAGGAUAUGAGGGCGGCGCUAGGGUUUAGGUAUCCAAGCAUGGAGACGAUGAACGGAGGGGGUUGAUUUGGGAGGAGGGAUGUAGGCUCAUUUCGGACAUAUAUAUAUAUAUCUAAUAGUGUUCAGUUCUGAUCUGUUUGAUCAAUGUGAUCCAACGGCU